AUUGAGGACUGGGUGGCCAAGCGAAAGUGAUAAGUAACCCACCUGGGGAGUACGUUCGCAAGAAUGAAACUCAAAGGAAUUGACGGGGGCCCGCACAAGCGGUGGAGCAUGUGGUUUAAUUCGAUGAUACGCGAGGAACCUUACCAGGGCUUAAAUGUAGUCUGACAGAUUUGGAAACAGAUUUUUCUUCGGACAGAUUACAAGGUGCUGCAUGGUUGUCGUCAGCUCGUGCCGUGAGGUGUCAGGUUAAGUCCUAUAACGAGCGCAACCCCUGUGGUUAGUUGCCAGCGAGUCAAGUCGGGAACUCUAGCCAGACUGCCGGUGCAAACCGUGAGGAAGGUGGGGAUGACGUCAAAUCAUCACGGCCCUUACGUCCUGGGCCACACACGUGCUACAAUGGUAGGUACAGAGAGCAGCCACGUCGCAAGGCGGAGCGAAUCUAUAAAACCUAUCACAGUUCGGAUCGGGGUCUGCAACUCGACCCCGUGAAGCUGGAAUCGCUAGUAAUCGCAUAUCAGCCAUGAUGCGGUGAAUACGUUCCCGGGCCUUGUACACACCGCCCGUCAAGCCAUGGAAGCUGGGGGUACCUGAAGUCCGUCACCGCAAGGAGCGGCCUAGGGUAAGACCGGUAACUGGGGCUAAGUCGUAACAAGGUAGCCGUACCGGAAGGUGCGGCUGGAACACCUCCUUUCU
RNAcentral lists this ribosomal RNA (693 nucleotides) under Leeuwenhoekiella blandensis MED217. RNAcentral's name for it is "bacterial SSU rRNA". It matches the Rfam family "Bacterial small subunit ribosomal RNA", at positions 831 to 1533 of the family's 1533-position model. Lineage: Bacteria; Pseudomonadati; Bacteroidota; Flavobacteriia; Flavobacteriales; Flavobacteriaceae. The record is from RNAcentral.